AGCGAACGUUUGCGGCGGGCCUAACACAUGCAAGUCGAACGCACUAGCAAUAGUGAGUGGCGCACGGGUGCGUAACACGUGGGUAAUCAACCCUUCAGCUUGGGAUAACGACUUGAAAGGGUCGCUAAUACCGGAUACGGCGCGGGAGGCUUCGGCUUCUUACGAGAAAGCCUCGCAAGGGACACUGAAGGACGAGCCUGCGGCCCAUCAGCUAGUUGGUGAGGUAAGAGCUCACCAAGGCGAAGACGGGUAGCUGGUCUGAGAGGAUGAUCAGCCACACUGGAACUGAGACACGGUCCAGACUCCUACGGGAGGCAGCAGUGGGGAGUAUUGCGCAAUGGGCGAAAGCCUGACGCAGCCACGCCGCGUGAGCGAUGAAGGCCUGGUCGUAAGCUCUGUGGGAGAGACGAAGAAAGACCCGUGAAGAGCGGGCCGUUGACGGUAGUCUCCUUAGCAAGCACCGGCUAACUACCGU
Molecule: ribosomal RNA, 475 nt
Filed under: uncultured bacterium
Lineage: Bacteria
Description: bacterial SSU rRNA
Rfam family: Bacterial small subunit ribosomal RNA
Source: RNAcentral